AACAACCCAGACCGCCAGCUAAGGUCCCAAAGUCAUGGUUAAGUGGGAAACGAUGUGGGAAGGCCCAGACAGCCAGGAUGUUGGCUUAGAAGCAGCCAUCAUUUAAAGAAAGCGUAAUAGCUCACUGGUCGAGUCGGCCUGCGCGGAAGAUGUAACGGGGCUAAACCAUGCACCGAAGCUGCGGCAGCGACACUCAGGUGUUGUUGGGUAGGGGAGCGUUCUGUAAGCCUGUGAAGGUGGCCUGUGAGGGUUGCUGGAGGUAUCAGAAGUGCGAAUGCUGACAUAAGUAACGAUAAAGCGGGUGAAAAGCCCGCUCGCCGGAAGACCAAGGGUUCCUGUCCAACGUUAAUCGGGGCAGGGUGAGUCGACCCCUAAGGCGAGGCCGAAAGGCGUAGUCGAUGGGAAACGGGUUAAUAUUCCCGUACUUGGUGUUACUGCGAAGGGGGGACGGAGAAGGCUAUGUUGGCCGGGCGACGGUUGUCCCGGUUUAAGCGUGUAGGUGUGUGUUCCAGGUAAAUCCGGUUCACUUUAACACUGAGGCGUGAUGACGAGGCACUACGGUGCUGAAGCAACAAAUGCCCUGCUUCCAGGAAAAGCCUCUAAGCAUCAGGUAACAUCAAAUCGUACCCCAAACCGACACAGGUGGUCAGGUAGAGAAUACCAAGGCGCUUGAGAGAACUCGGGUGAAGGAACUAGGCAAAAUGGUGCCGUAACUUCGGGAGAAGGCACGCUGACA
This 736-nucleotide ribosomal RNA is filed under the name Salmonella enterica subsp. enterica serovar Derby. RNAcentral describes it as "partial 23S ribosomal RNA". It matches the Rfam family "Bacterial large subunit ribosomal RNA", at positions 1021 to 1756 of the family's 2925-position model. The record is from RNAcentral. Lineage: Bacteria; Pseudomonadati; Pseudomonadota; Gammaproteobacteria; Enterobacterales; Enterobacteriaceae.